CCUACGGGAGGCAGCAGUGGGGAAUUUUGGACAAUGGGCGCAAGCCUGAUCCAGCAAUGCCGCGUGCAGGAUGAAGGCCUUCGGGUUGUAAACUGCUUUUGUACGGAACGAAACGGUGAGCUCUAAUACAGUUUGCUAAUGACGGUACCGUAAGAAUAAGCACCGGCUAACUACGUGCCAGCAGCCGCGGUAAUACGUAGGGUGCGAGCGUUAAUCGGAAUUACUGGGCGUAAAGCGUGCGCAGGCGGUGAUGUAAGACAGAUGUGAAAUGCCCGGGCUCAACCUGGGACCUGCAUUUGUGACUGCAUCGCUAGGGUACGGUAGAGGGGGAUGGAAUUCCGCGUGUAGCAGUGAAAUGCGUAGAUAUGCGGAGGAACACCGAUGGCGAAGGCAAUCCCCUGGACCUGUACUGACGCUCAUGCACGAAAGCGUGGGGAGCAAACAGGAUUAGAUACCCUGGUAGUCCACGCCCUAAACGAUGUCAACUGGUUGUUGGGUCUUCACUGACUCAGUAACGAAGNUAACGCGUGAAGUUGACCGCCUUGGGGAGUAGCGCGAGUUAGAGANANAGAGUUAGAGGNGNGAGAGNGCGAGGACGACGACGAGGAGAG
This 611-nucleotide ribosomal RNA is filed under the name uncultured bacterium. Its description in RNAcentral is "bacterial SSU rRNA". The stretch from base 1 to 542 matches the Rfam family "Bacterial small subunit ribosomal RNA", at positions 338 to 873 of the family's 1533-position model. The record is from RNAcentral.